Molecule: ribosomal RNA, 231 nt
Filed under: uncultured bacterium
Lineage: Bacteria
Description: partial 16S ribosomal RNA
Rfam family: Bacterial small subunit ribosomal RNA
Source: RNAcentral
UGCGUAACGCGUAUGCAACCUACCUCUAACUGGGAGAUAGCCCGAAGAAAUUCGGAUUAAUACCCCAUAAUAUGUGUCUUUCGCAUGAUUGACAUAUUAAAGCUUUGGGGUUAGAGAUGGGCAUGCGUGACAUUAGCUAGUUGGUAAGGUAACGGCUUACCAAGGCUAUGAUGUCUAGGGGGUCUGAGAGGAUUAUCCCCCACACUGGUACUGAGACACGGACCAGACUCC